GGAUUUGAUGAAAUCAAUGAUUUAACAGAAGGGGCCGAUUUCGAAUAACUAGGGUACCCUAGUUAUUUGAAAUCUCUUCCUCUCCCCCUUCCGAAACAUCACGCUCGAUUUCAACAGCGGCGGGGAGCUCGCUCUCUCUUCACUUGUGUUCUCUACGAAUCGCAGAGGCUGGGCUAGAGUUGAUUUGAGAUUUGGUGAAGGGCAACCAAGGAAUUGAGGGUGAAGCAUUACAAUUUGGAUUUUCAUGAUAUGGAGUCUUCUGAAACACUAUUAUUAUUACUUUUUUUUUUUUUUUUUUGAGACUAUAAGAUGAAACACUUUGGAUUUGUAUAAUUGAGAGUAUGAGAUGGACUUAUACAGAUGAAACAUGUAUUAUUAUUAUUAUUGAUACUUUUUUUUUUGGUUGAAAAUAUGAGAUGAAAAACUUGGGAUUUAUAUUGCUUUUGGAA
Rosa chinensis is the source of this 449-nucleotide long non-coding RNA. RefSeq lists it as uncharacterized. The transcript has 2 exons. The record is from RefSeq and is a predicted model, not a curated record. Lineage: Eukaryota; Viridiplantae; Streptophyta; Magnoliopsida; Rosales; Rosaceae.